AUUCUGACUCUUGUUAAAACAGUAAGGAAGACUUUAUACAGGGUUAUUGCUAUAGGUGUAAAGAUGAUCACUCUAGGGAGAGAUGAGGUCUGACACGGAAUGCUGGGGAUGUAUAGCCAAGGAGCAGAAUGAAGGGGUCAGUAGAUGGAAAAUUACUGAGACGAGACAUCAAGCGCCUAGAGGGAUUCUUGCUGAAGGUGACUCCUGAUGCUGUGAUUUAGGAUCCGUGUUCCUUCCGUCUUGUGGCUUUGCCACCAUCUCGGGCCUGUGGUUUACUCCAUCUGCCAGAGUGAAGGGGAGAGAAAAUGAAAAAGUACAGGAAUUGUUUGCAUUGCUACCUAAUGAAAAUCUACAAGUUACCGUUUAACCUCACAGUAUCUGGGCCCCAAUCAGUAAUAAAUAGCAAGUCAAACAAAGAUACAUAUUGAUUAUGGAAAUUGGCGAACGUGUCCUUAAAAGUAGUUAUCUAUUCAACUCCAUACCCACCAAGAGGAAAGACGUGCCUCCCACAGAAGAGAAGUCUCUAUGCCUGCCAUAUGAAGAUGUCUGCUUCCACUUUGCCUUCUGCCCUGAGUGAAAGUUUCCUGAGG
Chlorocebus sabaeus (green monkey) is the source of this 590-nucleotide non-coding RNA. Lineage: Eukaryota; Metazoa; Chordata; Mammalia; Primates; Cercopithecidae. The record is from RefSeq and is a predicted model, not a curated record.